GAACAGAACCAGGACAGGGAGGCUGGCCGGAGGUUCCUGCAGAGGGAGCGUCAAGGCCCUGUGCUGCUGUCCUUGGGGGCCAGAGGGGUUGCCCAUCAUGCCCACUGGCAGGAGAGAGGGAACUGACCCACUUGCUCCUACCAGCUUCUGAAGGCUCCAAAGUCCGGAGGUGCAGAAAGCCAGGACCAAGAGACAGGCAGCUCACCAGGGUGGACAAAUCGCCAGAGAUGUGGUGCAUUGUCCUGUUUUCACUUUUGGCAUGGGUUUAUGCUGAGCCUACCAUGUAUGGGGAGAUCCUGUCCCCUAACUAUCCUCAGGCAUAUCCCAGUGAGGUAGAGAAAUCUUGGGACAUAGAAGUUCCUGAAGGGUAUGGGAUUCACCUCUACUUCACCCAUCUGGACAUUGAGCUGUCAGAGAACUGUGCGUAUGACUCAGUGCAGGUAUGUUAUAAGCACAAAAAGAAUAGAGAUGGAAGACUAGGGCUAAGGUAGCGGAAUAAGGAUGUGGGAGGGAGUGCCACCUGUACUCACAGUGAACUGGAGUCAAGUCCUAGUGGCAUAAAUGUU
Molecule: small RNA, 566 nt
Filed under: Pan troglodytes (chimpanzee)
Lineage: Eukaryota; Metazoa; Chordata; Mammalia; Primates; Hominidae
Description: processed transcript
Source: RNAcentral